UUGAACGCUGGCGGCAUGCCUUACACAUGCAAGUCGAACGGUAACGGGCCUUCGGGUGCCGACGAGUGGCGAACGGGUGAGUAAUACAUCGGAACGUGCCCGAUCGUGGGGGAUAACGAGGCGAAGGCUUUGCUAAUACCGCAUACGAUCUACGGAUGAAAGCAGGGGACCGCAAGGCCUUGCGCGGACGGAGCGGCCGAUGGCAGAUUAGGUAGUUGGUGGGAUAAAAGCUUACCAAGCCGACGAUCUGUAGCUGGUCUGAGAGGAUGAUCAGCCACACUGGGACUGAGACACGGCCCAGGCUCCUACGGGAGGCAGCAGUGGGGAAUUUUGGACAAUGGGCGCAAGCCUGAUCCAGCCAUGCCGCGUGCAGGAUGAAGGCCUUCGGGUUGUAAACUGCUUUUGUACGGAACGAAAAGCCUUCUUUUAAUACAGGAGGGUCAUGACGGUACCGUAAGAAUAAGCACCGGCUAACUACGUG
Molecule: ribosomal RNA, 481 nt
Filed under: uncultured bacterium
Lineage: Bacteria
Description: partial 16S ribosomal RNA
Rfam family: Bacterial small subunit ribosomal RNA
Source: RNAcentral